Molecule: ribosomal RNA, 425 nt
Filed under: uncultured bacterium
Lineage: Bacteria
Description: partial 16S ribosomal RNA
Rfam family: Bacterial small subunit ribosomal RNA
Source: RNAcentral
GUGGGGAAUCUUAGACAAUGGGCGCAAGCCUGAUCUAGCCAUGCCGCGUGAGCGAUGAAGGCCUUAGGGUUGUAAAGCUCUUUCGUGGGGGAAGAUAAUGACUGUACCCCAAGAAGAAGCCCCGGCUAACUCCGUGCCAGCAGCCGCGGUAAUACGGAGGGGGUUAGCGUUGUUCGGAAUUACUGGGCGUAAAGCGCACGUAGGCGGACUGGAAAGUCAGGGGUGAAAUCCCGGGGCUCAACCCCGGAACUGCCGUUGAAACUCCCAGGCUUGAGUUCGAGAGAGGUGAGUGGAAUUCCGGGUGUAGAGGUGAAAGUCGUAGAUAUUCGGAGGAACACCAGUGGCGAAGGCGGCUCACUGGCUCGAUACUGACGCUGAGGUGCGAAAGCGUGGGGAGCAAACAGGAUUAGAAACCCCAGUAGUCC